RNAcentral lists this ribosomal RNA (736 nucleotides) under uncultured Planctomycetota bacterium. RNAcentral describes it as "bacterial SSU rRNA". It matches the Rfam family "Bacterial small subunit ribosomal RNA", at positions 75 to 818 of the family's 1533-position model. The record is from RNAcentral. Lineage: Bacteria; Pseudomonadati; Planctomycetota.
UAUAGCAAUAUAGUGGUGGGGGAAGUGGCGAAAGGGGCAGUAAGGCGUGGGUAACCUACCCCGGGGACGGGGAUAGCCAUUCUAACGAGUGGGUAAUACCUGGCGAUCUGGUUGGGACGCAUGUUCUGGCCAGGAAAUGAAUUUCGCCUCGGGAGGGGCUCACGUGAUAUUAGCUUGUUGGUAGGGUAACGGCCUACCAAGGCAAAGAUGUCUAGCGGGUGUGAGAGCACGACCCGCGCCACUGGCACUGAGACACUGGCCAGACUCCUACGGGAGGCUGCAGUCGAGGAUCUUCGGCAAUGGGCGCAAGCCUGACCGAGCGACGCCGCGUGGAUGAUGAAGGCCUUCGGGUUGUAAAAUCCUGUCGAGGGGGAUAAAAGCGCAAGCUUGAUUGAUCCCUGGAGGAAGCACGGGCUAAGUUCGUGCCAGCAGCCGCGGUAAGACGAACCGUGCGAACGUUGUUCGGAAUCACUGGGCUUAAAGGGCGCGUAGGCGGCUUGUCAAGUCAGGGGUGAAAUCUUUCGGCUCAACCGGAAAAGUGCCUUUGAUACUGACAGGCUCGAGGGAGGUAGGGGUAUGUGGAACUUCCGGUGGAGCGGUGAAAUGCGUUGAUAUCGGAAGGAACGCCGGUGGCGAAAGCGACGUACUGGACCUCUUCUGACGCUGAGGCGCGAAAGCUAGGGGAGCAAACGGGAUUAGAUACCCCGGUAGUCCUAGCCCUAAACGAUGGGUACUA